This 40-nucleotide transfer RNA is filed under the name Elymus dolichatherus. Its description in RNAcentral is "partial tRNA-Phe". RNAcentral also lists the same sequence under 1 other name. The record is from RNAcentral. Lineage: Eukaryota; Viridiplantae; Streptophyta; Magnoliopsida; Poales; Poaceae.
GUCAGGAUAGCUCAGUUGGUAGAGGAGAGGACUGAAAAUC